This is a non-coding RNA of Gossypium hirsutum (cotton), 145 nucleotides long. The record is from Rfam. Lineage: Eukaryota; Viridiplantae; Streptophyta; Magnoliopsida; Malvales; Malvaceae.
UAGUUAUUGUUGCAUCCAUUUGUACUUUUAAAAACUGCAGUGGCUGAUAGAAGAAUCAAAUAAUAACAUAUGGCAUGUCACUUGUACCUUAUACUGAUGUAUAGAGACAAGCUUUUAAUAGUAAAAAUGAAUGAAAUUUUUAAUA